AUCCAGUUGACGAGUCCCAAAUAGAACGAAGCUUGUGUUCUAGAU
Molecule: non-coding RNA, 45 nt
Organism: Schistosoma mansoni
Lineage: Eukaryota; Metazoa; Platyhelminthes; Trematoda; Strigeidida; Schistosomatidae
Source: Rfam